Molecule: ribosomal RNA, 937 nt
Filed under: uncultured bacterium
Lineage: Bacteria
Description: bacterial SSU rRNA
Rfam family: Bacterial small subunit ribosomal RNA
Source: RNAcentral
UGCAAGUCGAACGAACUUUGACGAGUAGCAAUAUUUGUCAAAGAGAGUGGCGUAAGGGUGAGUAAUACGUAGGUAAUCUGCCUCCUAGAUGGGCACAACCUGGCGAAAGCCGGGCUAAUUCCCAAUGUGGCAGCUCCGGGCAUCCGGGGCAAUCUGAAGCCGGGGACCGCAAGGCCUGGCACUAGGAGAUGAGCCUGCGCCCUAUCAGCUUGUUGGUGAGGUAAUGGCUCACCAAGGCUUACGGGUAGCUGGUCUGAGAGGACGAUCAGCCACACUGGGACUGAGACACUGCCCAGACUCCUACGGGAGGCUGCAGUCGAGAAUCUUUCGCAAUGGGGGAAACCCUGACGAAGCGACGCCGCGUGCAGGAUGAAAGCCUUCGGGUUGUAAACUGCUGUCUUUCGGGAGCAAGGAACCUGGGUGAACAACCCUGGAACUUGAUAGUACCGGAGGAGGAAGCCACGGCUAACUCUGUGCCAGCAGCCGCGGUAAUACAGAGGUGGCAAGCGUUGUUCGGAUUUACUGGGCGUAAAGGGUGCGUAGGCGGUUCUGUGUGUCGGGUGUGAAAUCCCACGGAUUAUCCGUGGAACGGCAUUCGAAACUACAGGGCUAGAGUGCGGGAGAGGAAGGUAGAAUUCUCGGUGUAGCGGUGAAAUGCGUUGAUAUCGAGAGGAAUGCCGGUGGUGAAGACGACCUUCUGGAACGCAACUGACGCUGAGGCACGAAAGCUAGGGGAGCAAACAGGAUUAGAUACCCUGGUAGUCCUAGCCGUAAACGGUGUGCACUUGAUGUAGGAGGAAUUAUCCCCUUCUGUGUCGUAGCUAACGCGAUAAGUGCACCGCCUGGGGAGUACGGUCGCAAGAUUAAAACUCAAAGGAAUUGACGGGGGCCCGCACAAGCGGUGGAGCAUGUGGCUUAAUUCGAUGCAACGCGAAGA